RNAcentral lists this ribosomal RNA (235 nucleotides) under uncultured bacterium. RNAcentral's name for it is "partial 16S ribosomal RNA". The record is from RNAcentral.
CUGCUGCCUUCCGUAGGAGUCUGGGCCGUGUCUCAGUCCCAAUGUGGCCGGUCAACCUCUCAGUCCGGCUACUGAUCGUCGCCUUGGUGGGCCGUUACCCCGCCAACCAGCUAAUCAGACGCGAGUCCAUCUCAGAGCGAUAAAUCUUUGGCAGCCAGAGCCAUGCGGCCCAACUGCAUUAUGCGGUAUUAGCACAUCUUUCGAUGUGUUAUUCCCCACUCCAAGGCAGGUUACU